UACGGAGGAUGCGAGCGUUAUCCGGAUUUAUUGGGUUUAAAGGGUGCGUAGGCGGGCUUUUAAGUCAGCGGUAAAAAUUCGGGGCUCAACCCCGUCCGGCCGUUGAAACUGGGGGCCUUGAGUGGGCGAGAAGAAGGCGGAAUGCGUGGUGUAGCGGUGAAAUGCAUAGAUAUCACGCAAAACCCCGAUUGCGAAGGCAGCCUUCCGGCGCCCUACUGACGCCGAGGCACGAAAGUGCGGGGAUCGAACAGG
RNAcentral lists this ribosomal RNA (252 nucleotides) under uncultured bacterium. RNAcentral describes it as "partial 16S ribosomal RNA". It matches the Rfam family "Bacterial small subunit ribosomal RNA", at positions 524 to 776 of the family's 1533-position model. The record is from RNAcentral.